GGAGAAUACCUUUUUAGAGAUGGUAGAGAUGGCUGCCUGUUCUAGAAAAUGUGAAAUCCGGAACUGGAGGUGGGCCUGCUAAGAGGGUCCAUUUUACAAGAUUUGAGGAGCUGCUGCUGCCUUUUCUCCACAGGGAGAGUGUACGAGGUGUGUCCGGCACCUUUGAUUCGGACAGGAAUGUUGGCCAAGGUGGACGCUCCUCGUUUGGGCUCCACUCCCCACAGCGCCAUCCUGAAAUUCAAGGAGAAACCUUUAGUGGGGAGGAAAGUGAGAGAGGGUCACAUGUCGGUGGCAGAGACGUGGCCUUCUUCUUGGAUGAGGAGCCGGCCAACAUUCCCCAGCAGCAGCAGCUCCAAACCCAGGCCAGAGGAGAGAGAGUGGCCCCCAAGGAACCUCAAAAAGAUAGGUUCCACAAAUCCCUAAUCAGGCACCACAAAGCGCUGAUGCGCAAAAUGGACCAAAUGCAUGUCGACUUGUGUGUGGCCACUAACGCCUACAAUGAGGGUCAGGCAUGCCAAGCCACACAUGAGUCGGCAAUGCUAAGCCUCAUUCAGGCCAGCGAGGCACGUAAGGCCUAACAUGAGGCUGCCAUGUUGAGCCUGCAAGAGGAGCAGGUAGAGCUUAAAAGACAAAAAGUGGCUCUGUUGGCUGAACAAAAUUCACUCCUGAAACAACAAAUUGCUGCCCUCCAACAACAGGGCCAAAAGCCAACAGAGCCAACAAGCUCUACCAGUGGAGCUGCUGGUGAGAGCGCAGCUCCCGCUCCUGCAGGUUCAACAAGGCAACUUCGGAAAAGAAAAUAAAUUGUGCAGAUUAGGGAUUUGUGGAACCUAGCUUUCCUUAGCUAGGUUUUGUUUUAUUUUUUCUUUUUUUUGUUUUUAAUUUGGUUGCAGGUGUUGGUGAACCUGCUUUAAAAAAAUUAUUUUGGAAGUGAGAAUAAACCUUUUUUUUGGGUCAAA
Long non-coding RNA from Xenopus tropicalis (tropical clawed frog), 959 nucleotides. RefSeq lists it as uncharacterized. NCBI's taxonomy places the organism in Eukaryota, Metazoa, Chordata, Amphibia, Anura, Pipidae. The transcript has 3 exons. The record is from RefSeq and is a predicted model, not a curated record.